AUUUUAUAGCAAUAUAAGAUAUUUUUAGUGGCGAACGGGUGAGUAAUACAUAGACAACUUACCUUUAACAUGAGGAUAGCCUAUCGAAAGGUAGAUUAAUACUCAAUAUAAUCUAUUUUUGAAAUAUUAUAGAUGAAAGCCGCAAGGCAGUUAAAGAAAGGUUUAUGGUCUAUCAGCUAGUUGGUGGGGUAAAGGCUUACCAAGGCUAUGACGGAUAGCUGGUCUGAGAGGACGAUCAGCCACAUUGGGACUGAGACACGGCCCAAACUCCUACGGGAGGCAGCAACUAGGAAUCUUGCACAAUGGGGGAAACCCUGAUGCAGCGACACCGUGUGAAGGACGAAGGUCUUCGGAUCGUAAACUUCUUUUAAUGAGGAAAAUAAUGAUUACUCUUUGAAUAAGUGGCUGCUAACUACGUGCCAGCAGCAGCGGUAAUACGUAGGCCACAAGCGUUAUCCGGAAUUAUUGGGCGUAAAGAGAUGCGUAGGUGUCUAGAUUUAGUCUUUGAUUAAAUGCAUGGGCAUAACUUAUGUAAGGUUGAAGAAACGGUUUAGAUAGAGGGAGACAGGGGAAGAUGGAACUUCUGGUGGAGUAGUGAAAUGCGUUGAUAUCAGAAGGAACACCAAAGGCGAAGGCAAUCUUCUAGGUCUUUCCUGACACUAAGGCUCGAAAGCGUGGGGAGCAAAACGGAUUAGAUACCCGUGUAGUCCACGCCGUAAACAAUGGAUGCUAGAUAUUUGUAUCCGUAUGGGUUUACUCGUAUUGAUAUGAGUGUCGCAGCUAACGCAGUAAGCAUCCCGCCUGGGGAGUACGGCCGCAAGGCUAAAACUCAAAGGAAUUGAUGGGGACCCGCACAAGCAGUGGAUCGCGUGGUUUAAUUCGAUGAUAAACGAAAAACCUUACCAAGGUUUGACAUGUUAGAGAAUUCUAACGAAAGUUGGAAGUGCCGCAAGGAGCUCUAUCACAGGUGCUGCAUGACUGUCGUCAGCUCGUGUCGUGAGAUGUUGGGUUAAGUUCCGCAACGAGCGCAACCUUUAUCUGAUGUUAUAUAUUUCUUCGGAAACUGCAUCGUUACAACGAUGAGGAAGGUGAAGAUGACGUCUAGUCCCCAUAGCCCUUAUGUCUUGGGCAACACACGCGAUACAAUGGGAAGAACAAUGAGUUGCAACACUGUAAAGUGAAGCUAAUCUCUUAAAUCUUUCCUCAGUUCAGAUUGAGGGCUGCAAUUCGCCCUCAUGAAGUCGGAAUUGCUAGUAAUCGCAGAUCAGCAUGCUGCGG
RNAcentral lists this ribosomal RNA (1278 nucleotides) under uncultured bacterium. RNAcentral describes it as "bacterial SSU rRNA". It matches the Rfam family "Bacterial small subunit ribosomal RNA", at positions 71 to 1362 of the family's 1533-position model. The record is from RNAcentral.